RNAcentral lists this ribosomal RNA (252 nucleotides) under uncultured bacterium. RNAcentral's name for it is "partial 16S ribosomal RNA". It matches the Rfam family "Bacterial small subunit ribosomal RNA", at positions 524 to 776 of the family's 1533-position model. The record is from RNAcentral.
UACGGAGGGUGCGAGCGUUAUCCGGAUUUAUUGGGUUUAAAGGGUGCGUAGGCGGAUUUUUAAGUCAGCGGUAAAAUGUCCGGGCUCAACCCGGGCCGGCCGUUGAAACUGGGGAUCUUGAGUGGGCGAGAAGUAUGCGGAAUGCGUGGUGUAGCGGUGAAAUGCAUAGAUAUCACGCAGAACUCCGAUUGCGAAGGCAGCAUACCGGCGCCCGACUGACGCUGAGGCACGAAAGCGUGGGGAUCGAACAGG